CUCACCAUGGGAUGGAGCUGGAGCAUCCUCUUCCUCCUGUCAGUAACUACAGGUGUCCACUCCCAGGUCCAGCUGCAGCAGUCUGGUCCUGAGCUGAGGAAACCUGGUUCCUCAGUGAAGUUGUCCUGCAAGGCUUCUGGCUACACCUUCACUAGCUAUACUAUGAACUGGAUGAAGCAGAGUCCUGGACAGGGCCUGGAGUGGAUUGGAUAUUUUUACCCUGGAAAUGGUGAAACUGGCUACAAUCAGAAGUUCAAGGACAAGGCCACAUUGACUGCAGACACAUCCUCCAGCACAGCCUACAUGGAGCUCAGCAGCCUGACAUCUGAGGACUCUGCGGUCUAUUACUGUGCAAAAAACACAGUGUUACAACAUAUAUAUUUUUAUAUCUAUGGGACUGGAACUGUUGAUGGAGUAGCUGGUUCAGGGUUGGAGCUGAGUGUUAUGUUGCGGAGUCCCCAGGGUGUGGAGUCUGCUGCUUUGGCAACAAGCUGGGUUCCUGCUCAGAUAGCUCUGGGGAAAGAGCAGUGGGAUUCCAAGCUGGGAAUGUAG
Peromyscus californicus insignis is the source of this 552-nucleotide non-coding RNA. NCBI's taxonomy places the organism in Eukaryota, Metazoa, Chordata, Mammalia, Rodentia, Cricetidae. The record is from the annotation of a RefSeq genome assembly.